This 484-nucleotide ribosomal RNA is filed under the name uncultured bacterium. RNAcentral's name for it is "partial 16S ribosomal RNA". It matches the Rfam family "Bacterial small subunit ribosomal RNA", at positions 30 to 507 of the family's 1533-position model. The record is from RNAcentral.
AUUGAACGCUGGCGGCAGGCCUAACACAUGCAAGUCGAGCGGAUGAAGGGAGCUUGCUCCUGGAUUCAGCGGCGGACGGGUGAGUAAUGCCUAGGAAUCUGCCUGGUAGUGGGGGAUAACGUCCGGAAACGGGCGCUAAUACCGCAUACGUCCUGAGGGAGAAAGUGGGGGAUCUUCGGACCUCACGCUAUCAGAGGAGCCUAGGUCGGAUUAGCUAGUUGGUGGGGUAAAGACCUACCAAGGCGACGAUCCGUAACUGGUCUGAGAGGAGGAUCAGUCACACUGGAACUUGGACACGGACCAGACUCCUACGGGACGCAGCAGUGGGGAAUAUUGGGCAAUGGGGGAAAGCCUGAUCCAGCCAGGCCGCGUGUGUGAAGAAGGUCUUCGGAUUGUAAAGCACUUUAAGUUGGGAGAAACGGCAGUAAGUUAAUACCUUGCUGUUUUGACGUUACCAACAGAAUAAGCACCGGCUAACUACGUG